RNAcentral lists this unclassified non-coding RNA (288 nucleotides) under Hevea brasiliensis (rubber tree). The record is from RNAcentral. Lineage: Eukaryota; Viridiplantae; Streptophyta; Magnoliopsida; Malpighiales; Euphorbiaceae.
AACCUCUCUCGAGCCUAUGGGAGAAAAGUACAACCAAUUUACAAGGCUUACAAAUGACUCAACAAAAUUUUCAAACCAGAAUGAGGCUGCCAAGGAGCAUCAAAGAAAAUUGUGCAUCAUUGAGGAAUAGAACUAUGCAGCUGCUUCUGGUAAAAAUGAGGUGCAGCCUCCGUUAGCCAAGAAGGAUCGAUAGUGAUGACAUUUCGCAUGUACUGACGAUCUGUUGAAACGAGAGAAUGGUACACGAUGAACUUCGGGUUGACCCUGAACAACACAGAUGAAGGAUGA